Molecule: transfer RNA, 73 nt
Filed under: Ipomoea nil (Japanese morning glory)
Lineage: Eukaryota; Viridiplantae; Streptophyta; Magnoliopsida; Solanales; Convolvulaceae
Rfam family: tRNA
About the family: Transfer RNA (tRNA) molecules are approximately 80 nucleotides in length.
Source: Rfam by way of RNAcentral
GAUUCCAUGGCCCAAUGGAUAAGGUGCUGGUCUACGAAACCAGAUACUCGGGGUUUGAUCCGCAGUGGAGUUG